CUGGUCGAGUCGGCCUGCGCGGAAGAUGUAACGGGGCUAAACCAUGCACCGAAGCUGCGGCAGCGACACUGUGUGUUGUUGGGUAGGGGAGCGUUCUGUAAGCCUGUGAAGGUGUGUCGUGAGGCAUGCUGGAGGUAUCAGAAGUGCGAAUGCUGACAUAAGUAACGAUAAAGCGGGUGAAAAGCCCGCUCGCCGGAAGACCAAGGGUUCCUGUCCAACGUUAAUCGGGGCAGGGUGAGUCGACCCCUAAGGCGAGGCCGAAAGGCGUAGUCGAUGGGAAACGGGUUAAUAUUCCCGUACUUGGUGUUACUGCGAAGGGGGGACGGAGAAGGCUAUGUUGGCCGGGCGACGGUUGUCCCGGUUUAAGCGUGUAGGUGUGUGUUCCAGGUAAAUCCGGUUCACUUUAACACUGAGGCGUGACGACGAGGCACUACGGUGCUGAAGCAACAAAUGCCCUGCUUCCAGGAAAAGCCUCUAAGCAUCAGGUAACAUCAAAUCGUACCCCAAACCGACACAGGUGGUCAGGUAGAGAAUACCAAGGCGCUUGAGAGAACUCGGGUGAAGGAACUAGGCAAAAUGGUGCCGUAACUUCGGGAGAAGGCACGCUGACACGUAGGUGAAGUGAUUUACUCAUGGAGCUGAAGUCAGUCGAAGAUACCAGCUGGCUGCAACUGUUUAUUAAAAACACAGCACUGUGCAAACACGAAAGUGGACGUAUACGGUGUGACGCCUGCCCGGUGCCGGAAGGUUAAUUGAUGGGGUCAGCGCAAGCGAAGCUCCUGAUCGAAGCCCCGGUAAACGGCGGCCGUAACUAUAACGGUCCUAAGGUAGCGAAAUUCCUUGUCGGGUAAGUUCCGACCUGCACGAAUGGCGUAAUGAUGGCCAGGCUGUCUCCACCCGAGACUCAGUGAAAUUGAACUCGCUGUGAAGAUGCAGUGUACCCGCGGCAAGACGGAAAGACCCCGUGAACCUUUACUAUAGCUUGACACUGAACAUUGAGCCUUGAUGUGUAGGAUAGGUGGGAGGCUUUGAAGUGUGGACGCCAGUCUGCAUGGAGCCGACCUUGAAAUACCACCCUUUAAUGUUUGAUGUUCUAACGUGGACCCGUUACCCGGGUUGCGGACAGUGUCUGGUGGGUAGUUUGACUGGGGCGGUCUCCUCCUAAAGAGUAACGGAGGAGCACGAAGGUUGGCUAAUCCUGGUCGGACAUCAGGAGGUUAGUGCAAUGGCAUAAGCCAGCUUGACUGCGAGCGUGACGGCGCGAGCAGGUGCGAAAGCAGGUCAUAGUGAUCCGGUGGUUCUGAAUGGAAGGGCCAUCGCUCAACGGAUAAAAGGUACUCCGGGGAUAACAGGCUGAUACCGCCCAAGAGUUCAUAUCGACGGCGGUGUUUGGCACCUCGAUGUCGGCUCAUCACAUCCUGGGGCUGAAGUAGGUCCCAAGGGUAUGGCUGUUCGCCAUUUAAAGUGGUACGCGAGCUGGGUUUAGAACGUCGUGAGACAGUUCGGUCCCUAUCUGCCGUGGGCGCUGGAGAACUGAGGGGGGCUGCUCCUAGUACGAGAGGACCGGAGUGGACGCAUCACUGGUGUUCGGGUUGUCAUGCCAAUGGCACUGCCCGGUAGCUAAAUGCGGAAGAGAUAAGUGCUGAAAGCAUCUAAGCACGAAACUUGCCCCGA
This 1674-nucleotide ribosomal RNA is filed under the name Salmonella enterica. RNAcentral's name for it is "partial 23S ribosomal RNA". It matches the Rfam family "Bacterial large subunit ribosomal RNA", at positions 1145 to 2802 of the family's 2925-position model. RNAcentral also lists the same sequence under 1 other name. The record is from RNAcentral. Lineage: Bacteria; Pseudomonadati; Pseudomonadota; Gammaproteobacteria; Enterobacterales; Enterobacteriaceae.